Molecule: long non-coding RNA, 377 nt
Organism: Epinephelus fuscoguttatus (brown-marbled grouper)
Lineage: Eukaryota; Metazoa; Chordata; Actinopteri; Perciformes; Serranidae
Exons: 3
Source: RefSeq, a predicted model, not a curated record
AUUGUUAACUGCUGGGAUGAUUGUACUUAACAUAAAUUUACAUAGGUUGGACUUAAAGAAGUAAAAUUAUGUAGGUUAGGUGUAGGAAAGUAAAGUUAUGUAGGUCAGGUUUAUGAAAACAAAUGGCUGGACAUUGGGAUGUUUUGUACUUAAGUGAAGUUACGUAGGUUAGACUUGGAAAGGUUAAAUAUGUAGGUUAGGUUUUGGAAGGUAAAGGUACAUCGGUUAGGUUUAGGAAAGUAAAGGUAUGUAGGUUAGGUUUAGGAAAGUAAAGUUAUGUAGGUUAGGCUUAUGAAAAGAAAUGGUUGGAUGUUGGGACGUUUUGUACUUCACGUAAAGUUAUGUAGGUUAGACUUAGGAAAGUAAAAUUAUGCAGG